RNAcentral lists this long non-coding RNA (1342 nucleotides) under Salmo salar (Atlantic salmon). RNAcentral's name for it is "lncRNA (ENSSSAG00000116829.1)". The record is from RNAcentral. Lineage: Eukaryota; Metazoa; Chordata; Actinopteri; Salmoniformes; Salmonidae.
CAGAAACAGGCUGACUCACUGCCUGAUAGUCAGCAGCAGAAGGGCACAGUGAAAUGUCCAUGGCGGCCGGGAAACCUUCAACCCGCGACCAAUGCAUUUUCGCCAGUGAGAUCGUUUUCAAGGUCGUACAAGGUACUCGUUCAGGAGAGACAGCCGGAAUGUCAAAAGCUCCACCAAAGAAAAAGAUUAUGCAGUUCAGUAACAUUCAGAGCAUCAUCGACUGCACAGAGCCCAAUGAGCACCUGCUCUGCAGUGAGGUCUCUGUUCCUUCGUGUUUUCCAUUAUCUCUCUCCCCAGCUCUUCAGGUGGAUAGUGAGUGAGAUUUACAUAGUGUGGAAGAUCUGUAAUGGACGUCAGUAGAGCAGGGGUCUGACGUCUGGAAGCCUUGGGAACACAUCUACUCACUGUGUAAGGUGGUCAAGGGCCACAAGCCUCUCUAUAACGUCUAUGGGAAGAAUGCGGUCAAACUAUACUGGAUGAUGUUUGAAUUUACCCUCAUGUUCAUACCAUGUUAAAUGAUGGAACGUCCCCAUACCCGAAGACAUCCUCGCUGCUUCUGAACUCCGCCGGUCAGCUAAUUUCCACCGGGGCAACUGGGAGAAAAAGACAAUCCAUAAUUCAUUUCAGUGGGCUGCACAUAGAAUGGAGGACGCAGUUGCAGGCAGCCUUAUCCACUCAGGCACGAAUCAAUCAGUCUCGCAGCUGUGCUAAUGCGAAGGGGCUUCGCACGUCGACUGAUGAAUAGAUAGGGCUUUACAGGAGUUAUCAGCCUCGGGAUAUUACCUUUAAGACAGCAAGGUGGUGGCACUCCGAGUCUUGCUAUGGGGCGUCCUGAAUUGGAUCAUUCCAAAGCAGUGUCAGUAGUCAAUAAGGUAUGACGACACAUAGGCCUUCCACACACACUGUUUGCUCUGUGUUAGGUCUGUGACGGAACUCACUUCUGUCAGACUGCAUUUGCAAAUGGUAUUUAGGAAUAUGGUAAUCUAUUUCCUGUACUUGUGUUGUGGUGAAGAAAGGCCUAUUGCAUUCUCAUCAAAUUGUUGGAUGUUCGAUGUGAAGUAGAUGUUUCUGAAAAUGAAAACACUGGACUAUGUCAAUGCUCAAACACAGUAAUAACAGAGAGAUUGUGAGAUAUAGAUAUAGGAAGAAAGAACCUAACAGUUAAACUCACUGACACACAUGACAAGAUUGGAAGUAGCAGCUCCCGUGGCAACACUGACAUGCCAACAGAUGGAUAUGGAGACACAAAACGGCCUAGGGUACUUUCUCUUUCUCCCCCUCUGUCCUUUUUCAUCUUUCUCUCUUCCUCUCUCUCUCUCUCUCUUUCUAUAUAUAUACACAG